AACGAACGCUGGCGGCAUGCCUAACACAUGCAAGUCGAACGAGACCUUCGGGUCUAGUGGCGCACGGGUGCGUAACGCGUGGGAACCUUCCUUUAGGGUCGGAAUAACUCAUAGAAAUUUGAGCUAAUACCGGAUGAUGUCUUCGGACCAAAGAUUUAUUGCCUUUAGAUGGUCCCGAGUUGGAUUAGCUAGUUGUUUGGGUAAAGGCUUACCAAGGCGACGAUCCAUAGCUUGGCUGAGAGGCUGGUCAGCCACACUGGGACUGAGACACGGUCCAGACUCAUACGGGAGGGAGCAGUGGGUAAUAGUGGACCACGGGCUAAGGGCUGAUCAACCACUGCCGCGAAAACGCUGUAGGCAUUAGGGAAGUAAAGCGCUGUUAACCGAGAUGAUAGUGACAGUAACGAGAGAAUAAGCCCCGGCUAACUACGUG
This 433-nucleotide ribosomal RNA is filed under the name uncultured bacterium. Its description in RNAcentral is "partial 16S ribosomal RNA". It matches the Rfam family "Bacterial small subunit ribosomal RNA", at positions 29 to 507 of the family's 1533-position model. The record is from RNAcentral.